Solanum pennellii is the source of this 3705-nucleotide RNA transcript. It is a transcript of the gene named splicing factor-like protein 1, with no coding region annotated. The record is from RefSeq and is a predicted model, not a curated record. The transcript has 2 exons. NCBI's taxonomy places the organism in Eukaryota, Viridiplantae, Streptophyta, Magnoliopsida, Solanales, Solanaceae.
AGCCCAACUUAUCAUAUCCGGAGUAUAUAGACGCACACAAUCACAAUCUUCUAUAUACAAAAUUCAUUCAUCCCAGUUUUGUUCGAAAAUCUUCAAUGGAUUCCCAAUCACAUCCAGUUCAAGAACAAUCACAAACCCUAAAUUCGUAUCAAAGUUCUUCAGAUUUGUACUGUCAAAACCCUUCACAAACCCUAGGUCAAGAUCCCCCACCAGGUGUUUGUGAUAAUUCAGCUCAAAACAAAAUGUCAGAUUUGAAUUCGAAUCAGCCAUUGUUGUCCGGUAAUGGGUUGAUUAGCACUCAUAGCGGUGGUGCCGAGUCAGGUGGUGAAGAAGAAACUUCCAGUAGAAGGAGGAGGAGAAGCCGAUGGGACCCACCCCCGACUGAUUCGAGCAAUGAUGGCACUGGAGCUGGACGGAAGAGGAAAUCGAGGUGGGCAGACGAUGAGCCGAAGCCAGUGAUUCAGUUACCUGAUUUCAUGAAGGAUUUCGCUGGAGGUAUUGAAUUUGACCCUGAAGUACAAGCUCUUAAUAGUAGAUUACUUGAAAUUAGUAGGAAACUGCAAUCUGGUAUGCCUUUAGAUGAUAGACCUGAAGGAGCUCGAUCCCCUUCGCCUGAACCUAUAUAUGAUAAUAUGGGUGUACGUAUAAAUACCAGGGAGUAUCGUGCUCGAGAAAAACUAAAUAGAGAAAGACAAGAGAUUAUAUCACAGAUAAUAAAGAAAAAUCCAGCUUUUAAGCCACCAGCAGAUUAUAGGCCUCCUAAGCUUCAUAAAAAGCUUUACAUUCCAAUGAAGGAGUACCCCGGUUAUAAUUUUAUCGGCCUUAUAAUUGGACCCAGAGGGAAUACUCAGAAGAGAAUGGAAAAGGAGACUGGAGCAAAGAUUGUAAUUCGAGGGAAAGGGUCCAUUAAAGAAGGGAGGUUCCAACAGAAAGGGAAUUUGAAACAUGAUCCCUCAGAGAAUGAGGAUUUACAUGUCCUAGUCGAAGCUGAUACUCAGGAGUCACUUGAGGCUGCUGCAGCUAUGUUGGAGAAGCUUUUGCAGCCUGUCGAUGAAGUACUUAAUGAGCAUAAGAGGCAGCAGCUCAAGGAACUUGCAGCGUUGAAUGGAACUAUUAGAGAUGAAGAGUUUUGUAGGCUUUGUGGUGAACCAGGUCAUAGGCAAUAUGCUUGUCCUUCUCGCACCACCACAUUUAAAAGUGAUGUGCUUUGCAAAAUAUGUGGUGAUGGAGGACAUCCCACUAUAGAUUGUCCAGUGAAAAAUACUACUGGAAAGAAAAUGGAUGAUGAGUAUCAGAACUUCUUGGCGGAAUUGGGAGGGACAGUUCCUGAAUCAUCACUUAAGCAGAAUGCAGCAACUCUUGCUCUUGGUCCCGGAAGCACAGGCAGUAAUCCUCCUUGGGCCAGCAGUAAUAGUGCAAGUGGUGGUGGUACCACUUCACACCCUGGAUUAGGGUCAAAUAUAAUGAAGCCAAAAGAAUUUGACGAGACAAACUUGUAUAUUGGUUACCUUCCUCCUACUCUAGAUGAUGAUGGGUUGAUCAAUUUAUUCUCUCCCUUUGGUACCAUCGUAAUGGCUAAAGUUAUAAAGGAUCGUCUCAGUGGUCUGAGUAAAGGUUAUGGUUUUGUUAAGUAUGCAGAUGUUCAACAAGCUAAUAGUGCUACUGUUGGCAUGAAUGGUCAUUGCCUUGAUGGGAGAACUAUUGCUGUGAGAGUAGCCGGCAAACCCCCUCAGCCUGCUGUGCCUCCAAGCCCUCCUGCUCCAGCAAUGCCCCCAUAUCCUGUUCCUAAUCAGGCAUCCGGAGUCUAUCCGUCUCAGCAGUAUGCAACGGGUGGUCCCAUUGGUCCCCCGGGUGGCUAUGCUGGGACUCCAGUUCCUUGGGGACCACCUGUGCCUCCACCAUAUGCCUCUUACCCGCCUCCUGGAUCAACCAUGUAUCCUCCUCCUCCAGGUCAAUUUGUACCUCCAUAUGGUGCACGGUAUCCUCCACCAAUGCCAACACCAUCUUCCGGUGUCCCUACUCAGACAGUUUCUUCUGGCGAAAACCAGCAAAAUUAUACAUCUUCUGGUGAGACACAACAAAGUUAUCCUCCCGGAGUGCAAUCUCAUAAUAGUGCUCCUGUUCAAUCGCUUCCCAGUUAUGCCUAUGGCAAUUCCGUCGCUGCAAUGCCACCCCAUACCCAACCUGCAUAUCCAACAUCUUCAUACAGUUAUCCUUCUUAUUAUGGCAUGGCACCACCACCUCCUCUUCCUCCAACUGCAACACAGUCCAGUAUAGAUCAUUCACAGAGUAUUAGCAAUGUUCCUUGGGCCUCAAAUCCACCAGAACCUGCAUCUCCACCUCCACCAUCUGCAGACAAACCUCCAUAUGGUACAGAUGCAAAGUAUGAAAAGUUCAUGUCGGAGAUCAAAUGAUGAUGCAGGUAACUUGUAUUUGCUUGUAGUACAUGGUAUGGAAAUGUUACAGUUGUAGCCUUUUGUUUUGGUGUACAAUCUUGGUUUGCACUUUUCAUGCCUUAUGUAUACACUCAUACUCACACUGUCACAGUCGCACUUACCCUGGGACAUCUAGCGAUCUUAUGAUACCUCACUGUUUUCCACCUUUAGUCCCCACCCACACACACUCUCUCCUUUUUUGAGGGAUGGGGGUACUUAUAUAUUAGGCAUACUCAUAGGUGCUUUCUGUAUCUAACCUUUUCAGCAUCUUUUGUGACCAUUUCUUAACUAUUCUUCCACUUCCACUAACAUCCCCGAGAAAGAAAAAAGGGUUGGCGAGGAGGAAUUAGAAUGUAGGUAAACAAAUUUGUCAACCAUUUUCAUUUGUUUUCUACUUCUACCUGGACAAGUAUCUAUGUCUAGAAUUUGGUCCUUGCGUUCCACUUGUUGGAAUUUGACUUAUUUAGAGAUUUCUUUUUCCUCUAGUUUGAAAAAGCUUUAUUUCAAUUUGGUCUUAACGUUUCUCCUUGUUGCCAUGUUUUGACAGGCUGAUUUGUUGGAGCACUUCACAUGAUUUCUUACCUCUUGCCAUGUCUUACUUCUUUAACCGUGCUGUACUAUUAUGAUAUUUGCAGAGAGAUGAGGAGUUGAGUCGAUUCCUCAUGUGUUGGAGCAGCUAAUUAGAAGGUGCAUCUUCAAGAUGUGAAGGUCCUCAGGGUAUGUGACUUGAUAGUAUGACUAUUACGUUCACAUGUCUCCGGAUUAUUUCUUUGUUACUUGAUUCUGAUGAUGUCUUGUGACAGGAAAAGAUUCUUGUAGUGCAAUGGGCAAUCCUGUUCUGGACCGAGUGUUGAGAAAUUUUCUUAUCCUCAUAUAUAGUUGUAUUAAAUUUAACCUUGUCGGCUUUACUUGGUUAUUCUUGAGAACUAGAUUUCAGCACCAAGAGAGAUGAUUUAGCUCAUCAAAACUGGGAAAGACGAAAAGCCUAGGGAGUAAGAAGAGAUAAUAUUAAAUGCUUACUGUUUGAGUCGUGUAAGCAGUAAUGGACUAAGUUUUUCGUGUUGUAGUACGCGUAAGGGUUGCUGUAUUAUCAUUUGAUUUUAGCUAUUUGUUUAGCGGGAAGAGCAUAUUGUCGUAGGAGGCUAGCAUUAACUUAGAAUGUGGAUACUUUGAGAUAGAAUUGUGGUUGUGAAGUCUUUGAGAGUAUAUACAGUGAGUUAUGUCAUACUACUAAAGAAGGUUAAUAACAUGCUCUUUUCUUUUCAAUCUU